UACGGGGGGGGCAAGCGUUGUUCGGAAUUACUGGGCGUAAAGGGCUCGUAGGCGGCCGACUAAGUCAGACGUGAAAUCCCCCGGCUUAACCGGGGAACUGCGUCUGAUACUGGACGGCUUGAAUUCGGGAGAGGGAUGCGGAAUUCCAGGUGUAGCGGUGAAAUGCGUAGAUAUCGGGAGGAACACCAGUGGCGAAGGCGGCUUCCUGGCCUGUUCUUGACGCUGAGGCGCGAAAGCUAGGGGAGCAAACGGG
Molecule: ribosomal RNA, 253 nt
Filed under: uncultured bacterium
Lineage: Bacteria
Description: partial 16S ribosomal RNA
Rfam family: Bacterial small subunit ribosomal RNA
Source: RNAcentral